RNAcentral lists this ribosomal RNA (432 nucleotides) under uncultured bacterium. RNAcentral describes it as "partial 16S ribosomal RNA". It matches the Rfam family "Bacterial small subunit ribosomal RNA", at positions 29 to 507 of the family's 1533-position model. The record is from RNAcentral.
ACGAACGCUGGCGGCAUGCCUAACACAUGCAAGUCGAACGAAGGCUUCGGCCUUAGUGGCGCACGGGUGCGUAACGCGUGGGAAUCUGCCCUUGGGUUCGGAAUAACGUCGGGAAACUGACGCUAAUACCGGAUGAUGACGUAAGUCCAAAGAUUUAUCGCCCAAGGAUGAGCCCGCGUCGGAUUAGCUAGUUGGUGAGGUAAAAGCUCACCAAGGCGACGAUCCGUAGCUGGUCUGAGAGGAUGAUCAGCCACACUGGGACUGAGACACGGCCCAGACUCCUACGGGAGGCAGCAGUGGGGAAUAUUGGACAAUGGGCGAAAGCCUGAUCCAGCAAUGCCGCGUGAGUGAUGAAGGCCUUAGGGUUGUAAAGCUCUUUUACCCGGGAUGAUAAUGACCGUACCGGGAGAAUAAGCUCCGGCUAACUCCGUG